AACGUAGACAUUGUCGGCACUGGUCAGAGUGUACUAUCUGUUCUAAUCAGUUUAAUAUCUGAAACGGGUUGUAUUUGGAAGAACGAUAAACUUAGUUUUGCAAGUUGGUGGAGUGCUUAAGAUCUGCUUCACAUCCGCCGCGAGUCGGUCUUGUAUUGCACAAUCUUCGUGAUUGGCCCAUCUAUG
This is a non-coding RNA of Dermacentor andersoni, 186 nucleotides long. The record is from RefSeq and is a predicted model, not a curated record. NCBI's taxonomy places the organism in Eukaryota, Metazoa, Arthropoda, Arachnida, Ixodida, Ixodidae.